This 338-nucleotide unclassified non-coding RNA is filed under the name soil metagenome. Its description in RNAcentral is "partial contains 5.8S ribosomal RNA, internal transcribed spacer 2, and large subunit ribosomal RNA". The stretch from base 1 to 120 matches the Rfam family "5.8S ribosomal RNA", at positions 35 to 154 of the family's 154-position model. The record is from RNAcentral.
GAUGAAGAACGUAGCGAAAUACGAUAAGUAAUGUGAAUUGCAGAAUUCAGUGAAUCAUCGAAUCUUUGAACGCACAUUGCGCCCGCCAGCAUUCUGGCGGGCAUGCCUGUUCGAGCGUCAUUUCAACCCUCAAGCUCUGCUUGGUGUUGGGGCCCUACGGUUGACGUAGGCCCUUAAAGGUAGUGGCGGACCCUCUCGGAGCCUCCUUUGCGUAGUAACUAACGUCUCGCAUUGGGAUUCGGAGGGACUCUUGCCGUAAAACCCCCAAAUUUUCUAAUGGUUGACCUCGGAUCAGGUAGGAAUACCCGCUGAACUUAAGCAUAUCAAUAAGCGGAGGA